RNAcentral lists this ribosomal RNA (500 nucleotides) under uncultured bacterium. Its description in RNAcentral is "partial 16S ribosomal RNA". It matches the Rfam family "Bacterial small subunit ribosomal RNA", at positions 30 to 523 of the family's 1533-position model. The record is from RNAcentral.
AUUGAACGCUGGCGGAAUGCUUUACACAUGCAAGUCGAACGGCAGCACGGACUUCGGUCUGGUGGCGAGUGGCGAACGGGUGAGUAAUACAUCGGAACGUGCCCAAUCGUGGGGGAUAACGUAGCGAAAGCUACGCUAAUACCGCAUACGAUCUAAGGAUGAAAGCGGGGGAUCGCAAGACCUCGCGCGAAUGGAGCGGCCGAUGGCAGAUUAGGUAGUUGGUAGGGUAAAGGCCUACCAAGCCGACGAUCUGUAGCUGGUCUGAGAGGAUGAUCAGCCACACUGGGACUGAGACACGGCCCAGACUCCUACGGGAGGCAGCAGUGGGGAAUUUUGGACAAUGGACGCAAGUCUGAUCCAGCCAUUCCGCGUGCAGGAUGAAGGCCCUCGGGUUGUAAACUGCUUUUGUACAGAACGAAAAGGCUCUGGUUAAUACCUGGGGCUCAUGACGGUACUGUAAGAAUAAGCACCGGCUAACUACGUGCCAGCCGCCGCCGUAA